UACGUAAAUGGAUACAAGGAACGCUUUUA
Molecule: non-coding RNA, 29 nt
Filed under: Rattus norvegicus (Norway rat)
Lineage: Eukaryota; Metazoa; Chordata; Mammalia; Rodentia; Muridae
Source: RNAcentral